GAUGAAGAACGUAGCAAAAUGCGAUAAGUAAUGCGAAUUGCAGAAUUUCCGUGAGUCAUCGAAUCUUUGAACGCACAUUGCGCCCUUUGGUAUUCCUUAGGGCAUGCCUGUUCGAGCGUCAUUUAAACCUUCAAGCUCAGCUUGGUGUUGGGUGACUGUCCGCUUCACCGCGGACUCGCCUCAAAAUUAUUGGCGGCCGGUACAUUGGCUCUCGAGCGCAGCAGAAACGCGUAACUCGAGGUCCUCGUGCUGGCUCCCAGAAGCUAUCUUCACAAUUUUGACCUCGGAUCAGGUAGGGAUACCCGCUGAACUUAAGCAUAUCAAUAAGCGGAGGA
Molecule: unclassified non-coding RNA, 335 nt
Filed under: soil metagenome
Description: partial contains 5.8S ribosomal RNA, internal transcribed spacer 2, and large subunit ribosomal RNA
Rfam family: 5.8S ribosomal RNA (bases 1-121)
Source: RNAcentral